Molecule: long non-coding RNA, 177 nt
Filed under: Sitophilus oryzae (rice weevil)
Lineage: Eukaryota; Metazoa; Arthropoda; Insecta; Coleoptera; Curculionidae
Description: uncharacterized LOC115882221
Source: RNAcentral
CAAGAAGAUUAUUUGGAGGAAAAGAAAACAUAAGAUAGGGUAGUUGUAGUUUUAUGCUAAAUAUUUCUAACAUUAGCAGCAGCCGUGUUCAGAGUGCCAAGAGGAGGAGAAUUCAGUUAAUUAGAUUUAUGCACAGUUACAGUAUUCCUACAACUGUAAAAACAAGGAACAUUGGAC